AACGAACGCUGGCGGCAUGCCUAACACAUGCAAGUCGAACGAACCCUUCGGGGUUAGUGGCGCACGGGUGCGUAACGCGUGGGAAUCUGCCCUUGGGUUCGGAAUAACUCAGAGAAAUUUGAGCUAAUACCGGAUGAUGACGAAAGUCCAAAGAUUUAUCGCCCAGGGAUGAGCCCGCGUAAGAUUAGCUUGUUGGUGGGGUAAUGGCCUACCAAGGCGACGAUCUUUAGCUGGUCUGAGAGGAUGAUCAGCCACACUGGGACUGAGACACGGCCCAGACUCCUACGGGAGGCAGCAGUGGGGAAUAUUGGACAAUGGGCGCAAGCCUGAUCCAGCAAUGCCGCGUGAGUGAUGAAGGCCUUAGGGUUGUAAAGCUCUUUUACCAGGGAUGAUAAUGACAGUACCUGGAGAAUAAGCUCCGGCUAACUCCGUG
RNAcentral lists this ribosomal RNA (433 nucleotides) under uncultured bacterium. Its description in RNAcentral is "bacterial SSU rRNA". It matches the Rfam family "Bacterial small subunit ribosomal RNA", at positions 29 to 507 of the family's 1533-position model. The record is from RNAcentral.